AUUGAACGCUGGCGGCAUGCUUUACACAUGCAAGUCGAACGGUAACAGGCCGCAAGGUGCUGACGAGUGGCGAACGGGUGAGUAAUGCAUCGGAACGUGCCCAGUCGUGGGGGAUAACUACUCGAUAGAGUAGCUAAUACCGCAUACGAUCUAUGGAUGAAAGCGGGGGACCGUAAGGCCUCGCGCGAUUGGAGCGGCCGAUGUCAGAUUAGGUAGUUGGUGGGGUAAAGGCUCACCAAGCCAACGAUCUGUAGCUGAUCUGAGAGGAUGACCAGCCACACUGGAACUGAGACACGGCCCAGACUCCUACGGGAGGCAGCAGUGGGGAAUUUUGGACAAUGGGCGCAAGCCUGAUCCAGCAAUGCCGCGUGCAGGAAGAAGGCCUUCGGGUUGUAAACUGCUUUUGUACGGAACGAAACGGCUCUGGUUAAUACCCGGGGCUAAUGACGGUACCGUAAGAAUAAGCACCGGCUAACUACGUG
Molecule: ribosomal RNA, 482 nt
Filed under: uncultured bacterium
Lineage: Bacteria
Description: partial 16S ribosomal RNA
Rfam family: Bacterial small subunit ribosomal RNA
Source: RNAcentral